Long non-coding RNA from Triticum dicoccoides, 334 nucleotides. RefSeq lists it as uncharacterized. The transcript is spliced from 3 exons. The record is from RefSeq and is a predicted model, not a curated record. NCBI's taxonomy places the organism in Eukaryota, Viridiplantae, Streptophyta, Magnoliopsida, Poales, Poaceae.
UUCCGGCGGCUGCCGGCGACGCCAAGCACACUCCCAUGAUCGCCUCCGUCCGCUCCGUCUUCCCCUCCGAGCAGAUUCGUCGCUCGCGUCCUCUACCGGUCACCCGCGACCGUCCCCUAAGCUAGGGUUUCGGCCACCGCGUCGCCGGCGUGGCUCCGGCGGCACAGAUCGAGCACACCACCGUCGCCAUCGUUUAGCUCGCGCUGGAACAUCAAAGGGAAGGCCAUGGACGACGCUGCUCCAGCCCUACUCUGACCCCAUCAAGCAGUAGCAGCAACUCGAUGCAGGGACGAGGGGGAGGAGGAGUCCUGCUUCCCCCACGUGCAUCCUCUCU